UAGGCGGCUUUUUAAGUCGGAUGUGAAAUCCCUGAGCUUAACUUAGGAAUUGCAUUCGAUACUGGGAAGCUAGAGUAUGGGAGAGGAUGGUAGAAUUCCAGGUGUAGCGGUGAAAUGCGUAGAGAUCUGGAGGAAUACCGAUGGCGAAGGCAGCCAUCUGGCCUAAUACUGACGCUGAGGUACGAAAGCAUGGGGAGCAAACAGGAUUAGAUACCCUGGUAGUCCAUGCCGUAAACGAUGUCUACUAGCCGUUGGGGCCUUUGAGGCUUUAGUGGCGCAGCUAACGCGAUAAGUAGACCGCCUGGGGAGUACGGUCGCAAGACUAAAACUCAAAUGAAUUGACGGGGGCCCGCACAAGCGGUGGAGCAUGUGGUUUAAUUCGAUGCAACGCGAAGAACCUUACCAGGUCUUGACAUAGUAAGAACUUUCCAGAGAUGGAUUGGUGCCUUCGGGAACUUACAUACAGGUGCUGCAUGGCUGUCGUCAGCUCGUGUCGUGAGAUGUUGGGUUAAGUCCCGCAACGAGCGCAACCCUUUUCCUUAUUUGCCAGCGGGUUAAGCCGGGAACUUUAAGGAUACUGCCAGUGACAAACUGGAGGAAGGCGGGGACGACGUCAAGUCAUCAUGGCCCUUACGACCAGGGCUACACACGUGCUACAAUGGUCGGUACAAAGGGUUGCUACCUAGCGAUAGGAUGCUAAUCUCAAAAAGCCGAUCGUAGUCCGGAUUGGAGUCUGCAACUCGACUCCAUGAAGUCG
This 757-nucleotide ribosomal RNA is filed under the name uncultured Pseudomonadota bacterium. RNAcentral describes it as "bacterial SSU rRNA". It matches the Rfam family "Bacterial small subunit ribosomal RNA", at positions 572 to 1328 of the family's 1533-position model. Lineage: Bacteria; Pseudomonadati; Pseudomonadota. The record is from RNAcentral.